Molecule: ribosomal RNA, 395 nt
Filed under: uncultured bacterium
Lineage: Bacteria
Description: bacterial SSU rRNA
Rfam family: Bacterial small subunit ribosomal RNA
Source: RNAcentral
GACGAACGCUGGCGGCGUGCUUAACACAUGCAAGUGGAGCGACGAACCAGGCUUCGGCCUGGGGCAGAGCCGCGAACGGGUGAGUAACACGUGGGUAACCUGCCCUGAUGAUCGGGACAACCCGGGGAAACCCGGGCUAAUACCGAAUGUGCCCGCGAGCCGCAAGGCUUGCGAGGAAAGGAAGCUUCGGCCUCCGCAUCGGGAUGGGCCCGCGGCCCAUUAGCUUGUUGGCGGGGUAACGGCCUACCAAGGCAGCAAUGGGUAGCUGGUCUGAGAGGACGAUCAGCCACACUGGGACUGAGACACGGCCCAGACUCCUACGGGAGGCAGCAGUGGGGAAUCUUGCGCAAUGCGCGAAAGCGUGACGCAGCAACGCCGCGUGGGGAAGACGGCCU